This 426-nucleotide ribosomal RNA is filed under the name Vibrio harveyi. RNAcentral describes it as "bacterial SSU rRNA". It matches the Rfam family "Bacterial small subunit ribosomal RNA", at positions 122 to 535 of the family's 1533-position model. The record is from RNAcentral. Lineage: Bacteria; Pseudomonadati; Pseudomonadota; Gammaproteobacteria; Vibrionales; Vibrionaceae.
AAAAUUGCCCUGGUGUGGGGGAUAACCAUUGGAAACGAUGGCUAAUACCGCAUAAUGCCUACGGGCCAAAGAGGGGGACCUUCGGGCCUCUCGCGGCAGGAUAUGCCUAGGUGGGAUUAGCUAGCUGGCGAGGUAAGGGCUCACCAAGGCGACGAUCCCUAACUGGUCUGAGAGGAUGAUCAUUCACACUGGAACUGAGACACGGUCCAGACUCCUACGGGAGGCAGCAGUGGGGAAUAUUGCACAAUGGGCGCAAGCCUGAUGCAGCCAUGCCGCGUGUGUGAAGAAGGCCUUCGGGUUGUAAAGCACUUUCAGUCGGGAGGAAGGGAGUGUACUUAAUAGCUGCAUUAUUUGACGUUAGCGACAGAAGAAACACCGGCUAACUCCGUGCCAGCAGCCGCGGUAAUACGGAGGGCGCCAAAUUUU